Molecule: unclassified non-coding RNA, 262 nt
Filed under: Hevea brasiliensis (rubber tree)
Lineage: Eukaryota; Viridiplantae; Streptophyta; Magnoliopsida; Malpighiales; Euphorbiaceae
Source: RNAcentral
UAAAAGAGUUAGUUGAUUAGUUUAUGGCAUAAGCAUAUGAUUUGAGUUAGAGUUUUGGACCUUUAGAGAUGAGUUGAUGGUGUUUUGGGAAUGUGGAAUUUCUACAAAAUCGAAUUGGGAAUUCUGAAAAUUCCCAAAUUUAACUGCCAAAGUGGCUACUGCCUCCUGGGGGCAAUUGUAGUUCGGCUGCUUGUGCCAACCUAUUUUCCCUUUUCAUUUCAAGGGUCCAAAACCCAAUUUUAUGCAUAGAAAUGACCUAGAA